Molecule: long non-coding RNA, 753 nt
Filed under: Sorghum bicolor (sorghum)
Lineage: Eukaryota; Viridiplantae; Streptophyta; Magnoliopsida; Poales; Poaceae
Description: long non-coding RNA (SBIC_LNC001461)
Source: RNAcentral
GUUUAACUCUAGAGUUGCAAGUUUUUAGUUUUUUGAGUUUUUUUCGUGAACAUUAACUGUGGCGGUUGCCUUACGUCGCCCACUACAGGUGGUUUUUAGAAUGACCUUAGUUAAGUCAUGAUUAAUCGUGACCUUAUGGUCGUGGCGGUUGUAAAAAUCAUCAUAGUAAAUGUAAUACCCGCCAUGGUUAAGUUUUUUUAGUAGUGACACUAGCGCAUAGUAUUAUUGUUUUUCAAUGACCUUUCACGUUGGCGGUGGGUUCAAACGCGAGUACAAAUGGCCCGUUCGGGCUUCAUCACAGAAAGAAAACCGGGGCGGAUGCCGGCUCUCUGGCUCCUGUAGCCGUUUUACUGUUCCUCUUCCCAACCCUUCCGAUCUCCAUCUAAAUCCAUCCAAAUCUCUUGCAUAUCUAUAUUUCCUCUCCAGAUUUUUUUGUUUCUUCGUUUCUGUUCUGCGUUUACUGCUGCUAAUCUCUCAACCGUCGUGCUCCCCUUUGGCUUUAUUUACUCGGCUUUUGAGCUACUUCUGUAGCUCUUCCUUCCCAUUCUGAUCUCGUUGUUCUUGUCUAUUUCUAAUCUUUUUUGUUUCCAAAUGUGUGUUUACUUAUCUGAUCUAUUGUUCUAUCCAGUUGGUUUUGUCUGGUUCCGUCUCAUAGCCUAGUUUCGAUUGGUUUUGCUUACCGUGUAUAGGAGCAUCCCUUUCUUCUCUCUUCAUCAGAUCCCCUGAAUCCAUCAUCUCUUUCCUCUCCCACCA